Molecule: non-coding RNA, 557 nt
Organism: Cucurbita pepo subsp. pepo (vegetable marrow)
Lineage: Eukaryota; Viridiplantae; Streptophyta; Magnoliopsida; Cucurbitales; Cucurbitaceae
Source: RefSeq, a predicted model, not a curated record
CAACAUGCUUCGUCCGUCGAUGAAAGAUUGGAUUGGCGGAUAGGUAGGUGGCACCAAUGUUGUCACACCAUAGGCUAGGCGCUCGCGCUUGCGAGAUCCCGAGCUCACGCAAGAGGACUUGGAUCCAAAUUAAUUCGGCAGUGGCAUCAGCAACCGCCUUAUAUUCGGCUUCCGUACUAGAACGAGAAACUGUCGAUUGUUUCCUCGAACUCCAAGAGAUAAGAUUGCCACCAAAGAAGAUCACAUAGCCUCCAGUGCUUCGACGAUCAUCAGGAUUCCCAGCCCAAUCAGCAUCUGAAAAGGCACUCAACAAAUCAGUGCUGGACUUUGUAAGACACAAACCCAUAUCAAUAGUGUCAUGUAGAUAACGGAGAAUUCGUUUGACUGCCGCCCAAUGUAUAGAAGUCGGAGAGGACAUGAACUGACACACUCUGUUGACACAGAAGGAUAUAUCAGGACGUGUCAGAGACAAAUAUUGGAGAGCACCAACGACACUUCGAUAGCGAGUAGUAUCCUCAGAAUAAGUCCACUAGAAGUAUGGCGGACCUCAAUCCCAA